GACGAACGCUGGCGGCGUGCUUAACACAUGCAAGUCGAGCGGAGAUAAUAGCAAUAUUAUCUUAGCGGCGGACGGGUGAGUAACACGUGGGCAACCUGCCUUAUAGAGAGGAAUAGCCAUCCGAAAGGAUGAUUAAUACCUCAUAAUAUUGUAGCUUCGCAUGGAGCAACAAUCAAAGGAGCAAUCCACUAUAAGAUGGGCCCGCGGCGCAUUAGCUAGUUGGUGAGGUAACGGCUCACCAAGGCGACGAUGCGUAGCCGACCUGAGAGGGUGAUCGGCCACAUUGGGACUGAGGCACGGCCCAGACUCCUACGGGAGGCAGCAGUGGGGAAUAUUGCACAAUGGGGGAAACCCUGAUGCAGCAACGCCGCGUGAGUGAUGACGGCCUUCGGGUUGUAAAGCUCUGUCUUCAGGGACGAUAAUGACGGUACCUGAGGGGGAAGCCACGGCUAACUACGUGCCAGCCGCCGCCGUAA
RNAcentral lists this ribosomal RNA (476 nucleotides) under uncultured bacterium. Its description in RNAcentral is "partial 16S ribosomal RNA". It matches the Rfam family "Bacterial small subunit ribosomal RNA", at positions 28 to 523 of the family's 1533-position model. The record is from RNAcentral.